GCCGCCCUCGGCUCCCCCCCGCCGCUCCCGGAGCGCCCCCGCCGCCCUCCGGCCUCCAUGGCGGCGGGGGAGGCCGCGCCGCCUCCUCCCGAGGGGGACUACUUGACGCGUCGGUGCGGCGAAUUUAUUUCCCUUUGCCUAAGGAACGGGCUGUGCCGCGGCACCCAUUGCCUAGGGAAAAAGCCCGGAUGUGAAGCUCACAAUGACAAAGAAGAGCAGUCCCAGCCUCUGCACUACUUCUGGUUUUAUUUCCACAUCAGCAAAAAGGGCUUCCCAGAUGUGAGCAGUCAUAAAGGGGACAUUGCUUACGGCUCUCGGGUGGCUGGCCAGGCUGACUAAGCACGCUUACCGAUCCCGCACACUGUUUAGAAUCACAAUGAGCUGGAAACUGCGUGCCAAGACGUGAGCGGUCCAGGGAGCAGUUACUCAUUUUUAAGCCAGCAGUAUGAACUAUCCCAUGAGCAAUUGCAGCUCCAUUAUCAGAGGUGAAACAAAGUCAUUGCAAGAGACUUCUCUUUUCACAUGUGCCCAUGGUGCACAGACUUGUGUGCCUGCUGCUCUGCUUCAGUAGAAUGAAACUUCUUGUACUGUGGUUUGUUUUGUUUUUAUUUCACAAACCUCUGAGAAUGAAAAUAGUCCUUAAAUAAUAUUUAUUGGAAUAGGAAACAAUUUAUCUUUUAAUAAAGAAUAGAUUGUUCUAGCAGAACUUGUGCAGGGGGCUGCUUGAGGACCACAGAGGAAAUGUAUCACUCAUCCUUACUCACCAAAAUAGCAUCCUGAUGCUCAUCUGCUCAAAGGACCAUUUGGGCAUUUGCAUGGAAAGAACAUGGCAAAUUUGUAUGAAGCAUGAACCAAGGUAUUCCUGUUGCUGCAUGCAGUAGAAAAGGGAGAGCCACUGGGAGCGACAGGGCCUGGUUUAAUUCUACCUCAGAGAGACUGAGAAGUCCACCCUCUAUGGAAAAUACAUUCUCUGCAACAUAUAAAUCUAUAUUUAACACAAAGUUUGCUUCUUCCACUGCAGACCUGAAGAAAGGCUUGUGUACCUAGAAGUUCACUUGAGUUUCCCAGCAAUAACAGUAUAUACUACCUUCAUGAUUUGCUCUUCUACAACCUCAAUUCACAAUAACUACAGCACUGCUAAAUAUAUUGAGGCUCAGAAGAUGAAUUUUUAUCUCCCUAGUUUCACAUGAACCAUGUCUUUCUUUACUUGCACGGGGUGCUUGCUUCUUUCUAGCAAAACUGAACUUACGGUGUCUGGGAAUAAUUAUAUCAAUGGAUAUUUCUGGGGAAUUCAUUCAAAAGUUUUAAAUUCCUCAAGGAAUCCUUUCUGGCAGUGAUGAGAAGACUGUAUUAGGAACAUUAACCUUAAUGGAUAAAACGAGAGAUCUCAAACAGUGCCUGUCCUCGUGGAGAAGAAAUGCCUCCUGUACAGAUUUAGUGAGGAAUUCAAGGAAAAAUGUCCAAAGGUGCUAAAGCACUAUUUUCAGCCUACCCUGGCCUUCAGCAAUUCUUCUCUUGCCCCAGACUGAAAUAAAUUAAUUAUCUCCCAGAAACAAACGUUUCUCUGCUAUUUGUGAAGAGCUGAGGGAUGAGAAGUUACACCCCUUCUACCGUGGUGUCCUUGGAGGGGAUCAAAUAGCUGCUGUUUAUUUAUCUUUACUAGCAUAACCGGCUGUCAGCGGAUUAUCUCCUUCUGGCAUCGAGAUGGCUCCUUUUCACCAUCAGGCAGCUGCAGAAGCAGCAGAGAUUUUUUUGCUGAUUUUUGGCUUCCCAAUUCAUCGUGCCCCUUCCUUUGGCUGUCGGCGUGAACUGCGUGGUGGGAAAUCUGCCUGCCAGGCCAGCCCGUCCUGAUCCCCUGAUGCACAUUGGAAAAGUUUAGAAUCUCCUUCUUUGUUUUGGUAUUGAGAAUAAAAUGGCACAAUUAGGUAGAUAAUAGCGUCAUUCCACAUCUACCGGCUCAAGGUCCAGAUGCCCCCCAGAUGUGCUUUGUGAUGAUGGAGGCACACACACUCAUGCUGGGAAGCAGGGGAUCCUCACCCUUGCAGAACUGUUCCAGACAUAGGAUGUUUGCCAUGGGACAGCUGCACCAGCAUCUGAUUGAAAUAAGAGCCACAUUUAUGGGCACUGUGCAAACAGACUGAGUAUUUUCACUCCUAAAAAUGUAAUAAACAGCACUUGCAUUAACAAACUCCAUCUCUUAUCCCCAUGAGAAUACAACCCCUUUGCCAAUACCUGUCUCACCCCUAUUGCCUCUCCUAACCCUGGGCUCCACAAUGCGCAGAGGUGUUAUGCCAGUGACAGAAAAAAGCACACAGCACUAGGAUUAUUUAAAUAUGGUCCUUAUCUUCAUCUGGAAGAAAAAUCCGAGUGCAGUAAUGAAGAAUCUUCUACAAGUGCCAUCUGCUUUCUCCCAUGUUAUUAUUUUGCAGCACACGUAGAAAACUCUUUGCUGCUGACUUCAGCUAGGGGCAUUUCAAGAUGUCAUUUGAGGGACACUCCAGGUGGUGUGGGUUUAGGAAGGUCCCUGUGACUCCUUUACCUAUGGGAUCAAGGAUAUCUUAAUAGUGUAUGGGCUAGGACAGACUGGUGCCAACAUCUGCAGUCCAGGGUGCUGUCUGUGGUGAGACCCAGAACAGAGAAAUUUGAAGGCUCUCUAUGGUGAGGAUUGGUCACACUGAUUACAAGGCCACCAAGAUGCCUACUCAGUCCCAUGGUUGUGGAUGAGACCUCAGACUGCCACUGUUUGAAAGUAUCCUUUAAGCCUUCAUUUGGGCUAGAAUCAUUGUAGAAUCAUUAAGGUUGGAAAAGACCACUAAGAUCAUCUAGUCCAACCUGCACUUUCCUUUCUUUUUUUUUUAAACUUCAGAUCAAAUACCUGGAUCAGAAGAGAAGGUCAAAUAAACAAAGCAGAGAAGAAGAGAGACCAUGAGAUCAAAUGAAA
Molecule: non-coding RNA, 2941 nt
Organism: Coturnix japonica (Japanese quail)
Lineage: Eukaryota; Metazoa; Chordata; Aves; Galliformes; Phasianidae
Source: RefSeq, a predicted model, not a curated record